UACGGAGGGUGCAAGCGUUUAUCCGGAUUCACUGGGUUUAAAGGGUGCGUAGGUGGGCAGGUAAGUCCGUGGUGAAAUCUCUGAGCUUAACUCAGAAACUGCCGUGGAUACUAUUUGUCUUGAAUGUUGCGGAGGUGAGCGGAAUAUGUCAUGUAGCGGUGAAAUGCUUAGAUAUGACAUAGAACACCAAUUGCGAAGGCAGCUCACUACACAAUUAUUGACGCUGAGGCACGAAAGCGUGGGGGAUCAAACAGG
This 255-nucleotide ribosomal RNA is filed under the name uncultured bacterium. RNAcentral describes it as "partial 16S ribosomal RNA". It matches the Rfam family "Bacterial small subunit ribosomal RNA", at positions 524 to 776 of the family's 1533-position model. The record is from RNAcentral.